UUCAACAUCAGAAAUCAAAAUCAAAACCAAAUUUCAAUUUUCAUUCUCUUCUCUGCUUCGAACCACCACCACCAUCGGUGGCUGCCGCCACCAAAACCACCGACAAUCACCACUACCCCUGCUGCCUAGCACCACCUCGAUCAUCCACCACCGUCGCAGCCACCCCUUAUUUCCCUCCUCUCCUCGCAGCUCCACAACUCCCUUCCCCUGCCUCCCUCUUUUCGUCCCCCUCCUGCACCACCACAACCACACCACCACUCUCCAGCCACCGCACCACCCCCUAGUAAAUCCCCGCCCUCAAAAAGACCCCGGUGAACGGCUGCUUGCCGCCCAGACUCGACCGGAAACACCCCUCUGCUUUCCCCUGUUCGCGCGACCACCUUUCCCCCUUCUUGUUGUUUCGCCGGCACAAACCACACCACCACCGCCGCCUCUCCGGCGCGGUUCCGUGAUGCGGCGCCGAACCACUUGAGCCCAACCGCCCAGCCACCCAGCCUCCUCCUCCUCCUUCUUCCUCUUCCGUCGUGCACUCGUGCGGCCUGCUGCUUGCUUACCCACGUUCCAGAAACAAAGUUCCACUUGGGAACUUUUGUUAUCUUAUUUCAAGUCAGCCAACACCAAAGUCCAAGCCCAAUAUCCAUUUUUGAAUUCAGACUCGAGGCUCAGGAUGAACGAUCCAUCGAACAUGAAGUAUAAACUACGGUUGAGGUACGAAGAAGAUCAUGGGAUGCCUUAGAGUGAGGAUGCAGCCACCAAAUUCACGAUCGAUGUUUAGUAAAGAUAACUAUGUCAUUAGCAAUAAAGGGAUGUAUUAUUUAAAGUCUAAGUUUGAUUUCAUGAUUUGAGUUAGAUUUUAAUAUUAAUGUUUAAUCAGAUGUUAAAAGUAUUUAUUAUUAAAGUUUAUUUAGUAAUUUAAAAAAAGGUUAUGUCGCCUUGUAUUUCCCACGAGGGAAAUAGGCAUGUGACGC
Long non-coding RNA from Spinacia oleracea (spinach), 968 nucleotides. RefSeq lists it as uncharacterized. The record is from RefSeq and is a predicted model, not a curated record. The transcript is spliced from 3 exons. Lineage: Eukaryota; Viridiplantae; Streptophyta; Magnoliopsida; Caryophyllales; Amaranthaceae.